CUGUUCACAGAAAGGCUUCUGCUUUUGAAAGUAUAGGGUCACGUAUGGUGGGAGGUUGGCUAGGAGGAGCCAGCUACAGAUGUGGCUUGCCUAAAAUGUGGAGCGGCACAACUUGGUGUCUGUAAAUCCCAAAGACGGUCCAUGAGUCACCGCUCGCUUCAGCUAAAAGAUUGUCCCAGAGAAGCACCUCUUGGAUUUCAAUGAGUGUUAGAGACAUGCAGUAGCCUGAGCCAUUCAGUGACACUCAAAGCCUCGAUGCCUCCUUUCUCGUGUGAUAGGCCUGCACCUCUCUGUUCAGUUUAUCUACCUCUUAUUUGUUCUAGUCUUUGACUACUUUGUCAUUCUCAUCAUUUCCUUGUCAAUCUCAUCUGAGCUGAGGCCAAAGGCUGUAAAUUCCUCAGAAUGGUUGCUGAUGUAGACACGGCAUCUCAGGGUAGUGGCGUACGGCUGAAGCAGGAGAUUUCCCUCCUUCAUGGCGUCUGUCUCAUUGUGGGAAACAUGAUCGGCUCAGGCAUCUUUGUCUCGCCUAAGGGAGUCCUUAUGUACACUGGCUCAUUUGGGCUGUCCCUGGUCGUGUGGGCCAUCGGAGGGGUAUUCUCUGUGUUUGGAGCGUUAUGCUAUGCUGAGCUUGGUACCACCAUCCGUAAAUCUGGUGCCUCCUAUGCCUACAUCCUUGAAGCCUUUGGUGGUUUCUUGGCUUUUAUUCGACUGUGGACAUCCUUGAUGAUUGUAGAGCCGGCUUGUCAAGCUGUGAUAGCCCUGACCUUCUCCAGUUACCUGGUCCAGCCUUUCUACCCCACCUGUUCAGCCCCCUAUGAUGCCGUCCGUCUUAUUGCCGCUGUCAUCAUAUGUGUGCUCACAUUUGUGAACUGCAUGAAAGUGAAGUGGGGUGCCGUUCUUCAGGUCAUCUCUACUUUUGCCAAGGUCAUUGCUCUAAUUGUCAUCAUCAUUGCUGGACUGGUUAGGCUGGGACAAGGUUUUAACCAGAACUUUGAGGAUUCUUUCAAAAACUCCAAGCUGAACCCUGGUGAUAUGGCCCUGGCCCUUUAUUCCGCACUCUACUCUUACUCUGGCUGGGAUACGCUCAACUUCAUUACAGAGGAGAUCAAGAACCCAGAGAGGAAUCUCCCCUUGUCCAUUGCCAUUUCAAUGCCCAUCGUCACGGUGAUCUAUAUCUUGACCAACAUAGCUUACUAUGUCGUCAUGGACGCAGAUACAGUGCUCAACAGCGAAGCUGUUGCUGUGACAUUUGCAGAUGAGGUGCUGGGCUGGGCUCGUUGGCUGAUUCCUCUUUCUGUGGCCAUUUCCUGUUACGGAGGCCUCAACUCAUCAAUCAUUGCAGCCUCGAGGUUGUUUUUUGUUGGUUCCAGAGAAGGCCACCUACCUAAUGUGCUUUGCAUGAUCCACAUUAAACGUUUCACCCCGAUUCCUGCCCUACUUUUCAAUGGUGGCAUGUCUCUGUUGUACUUGACUGUGCCAGAUGUUUUCCGGUUAAUCAACUACUUCAGUUUUAACUACUGGUUAUUCAUCGGCCUGUCGAUAGCCAGCCAGAUCUACCUUCGCAUCAAAGCUCCUGAUCUGCACCGACCCAUUAAGACUGCACCUUGGUGCAGCCACCCAACCACAUCGUCCACCUCACAGCCCCCAUCAGAUUGUGAACAGACAAAUAAACCGAUGAGUACAAGAUCUAUCUUUGUUCUUCCCAAUAGUCUACUGUCUGUGCAGCGUAUUCCUGGUGGUGGUGCCGCUCUACAGUGACACUGUCAACUCUCUAGUGGGGAUUGGCGUGGCACUUUCUGGGGCACCGAUCUACUACAUUUGUGUCCAUCUGCCUCGCAGCUCCAGACCAGCCUUCCUUGGAAAAAUGCUCAAUGCGAUAUCUCUAUACACCCAGAAACUGUGCAUGUGUUGUGUGGCGUCGCCAGAUAUUGAUCUGGACAACAUAGACCCGGGGAAGAUCGAAUGAUCGAUGGACAGACAAA
This is an RNA transcript of Oreochromis niloticus (Nile tilapia), 1982 nucleotides long. It is a transcript of the gene named Y+L amino acid transporter 2-like, with no coding region annotated. The transcript has 13 exons. Lineage: Eukaryota; Metazoa; Chordata; Actinopteri; Cichliformes; Cichlidae. The record is from RefSeq and is a predicted model, not a curated record.